UAAAAUACAGAAGGAGUAUUUCAUAAUUCUUUGUUCCACCCUACAUUUUUUUACGGGUAGAAGACUUGUAUUACUCAGAAUCAAUAUGAUUACAAUUUGCGAGAGCUAACUCUAGGGAAACUGAAGGUCCUGACCCAAGCCAAGUCAUAGUUCUUCCUUCAACCCUCGCAAACGACGCUAAACUAUCGCUAACUUAAUUCUGAGAACGAUUAACAAAGCUAAUACAAAUUCUACGAAGAGACAUUAAAUGACGAAUCUCUCUAAUAAUGGUUGAAUAUAAGGAUCUGUCCUCAUCCUGGGCUUGAAUCGUCUUCAAGGCCACCAUGGAGUCCACCUCGACGAUAAUUGGGAGUUCUGACCGUUGGAUUGAUAGAGAUAGGCCUUCCUUCCACCCUACAUUUGAAAUGUUGUCCGGUACCGUUCCGUUUCGAAGAAAAAAUGUUGUCCGGUACAUUUCAUUCAACUUUCAUUUGUACGUCCAGAAAAUAGUAGUCAGGUUUGUUUUCUCCCUAACUCGAAAAAGAAGGAUUAAUUUUUUUAUGAACCCAAGUUUAAGUACGAUGCACAUGCACUUGUUGACCACGCCAUGGCAAAAGCCGGCCUUUUCCUAUUUCCUUCUCUUUGGAAACUACUGCGCAUUCCAUCCUCACCCUGCUAGAAGACAAGUUGGCAUCUAUCUCCUGAUCCUCCGUUCCUAUAUAAUCCUUUUUCCUCCUGAAGCUUCGCCGUCGUAGCUGUGCUGCGUUGUAGCUCCAUUCCUCCACCAUUUCCUGGCGCCCUACCUCAUGUGCUCACCUUAUUCAACUGUAGCAGAUUCUGUUGUGUUUCCUCUCACCUACAACAUCGGAUGGCGCUGCAUUAAGCAAAGAAUUAUCUUUAACUUUUACUAGAAGUUGGGAAUGCAUCUGAAUAAAGCAAGAUUGUACCUCAAGUACCUCUUUCUAUGCAAAGGGUUUUCAUUUUUGCGUAACAUAAUGUCCAAACAUUACACCCCCAACUUUAGUCAGAAGUUCUAUUUCCAUUUUCUCAACCGUUGAAUCACACAUGGUUAGUCUGGAAUUGCAGCAACAAACCGUCACGAAAGGCCAAGCCUCGGACAAAAACAUUAGCAUAAUAUGCGGAAAGCCAUCACACAGCACUACAUAGGAAUAGUUUUUCCGGCAAUAAUAAAAACAACUCUGCAUAAUCCUGCAUUCUCAUGGCCAAAGGAUAUUAUGUGUCAGCAAAAAUGAUUCAUAAAAAGGAUUGACUUCAGCAUUUGGAAUUGUACUUAGCUACAAAGUUUUGUUCCCCCUAUGCACCUUUAGAAAUAGAACAAAACAGAAUGUUCAGAUUUAUCACAGACAAAUAAUUUUGGUAAUAAAUGACGAACCAGAUAAACCAAUAAACAUAAUAAAGUAGUAGUUCUUAGCAGUUUAACAUCAAAAGAUGAACAACAAAAACAUGAAUAUCAAUGGUAUGACCAUUGAGGCAUCGAGCACCACAUGUACAUGAAAAAAAUGAUAAGGGUAGGAAGAAUGCUCUGAACUUUUAUAUACCCCCGCUUGUGCUGGAAAAUUCAUCGGUUUACAACGCUGCAGUAUCCUUUGACCUAGCUGUAGUGGAGCAUACAGGAAGUCGAGAUUCGCGUCCGGACAAUAACAGCCAUACAGACUGCUCCAUGGGCGCCAAAUACUCUCGGAGAGCCAGGAACAAUGGUCCAGCAGUCCUACAUCGGGAUCACAUCAACCGAUGUAGGGGAAUCCAUCGUUACCAUACAAGGACUAUGCAGGGCUGGGAAUGAAUCCCCAGCGCAUAGUCAAGUUGAUUCACCCCGUAUUUGAUCGACUGCUAGCAAUUGCACAUCAAAGAUUCCGACCCGAGAUCCAGGCCAUAUAACUCAAUCAGGAACGAUCAUACAAUAGUUGAUGCAAUGCAACUGGACCGAAGCGUCAACACCUGGCAUGGCGUGAUAAACUCCCGAGCUCCCAGUGCAUGUGUCUGCUCGAUGUGUCCGAGCUGGAGCGUCAGCACCUGGCGUGGUGUGACAAACUCCCGAGCUCUCAUAACACAUGCGAUACUCCUCUGUAUUGAAAGUCCGCUAACAAGUACACGACCCAAAAUUCAAACCCCUACACACAACGUGCACUUAUCAUGCAUGCAGUGUGUCGGAAACAACAUGUAUCACAAGUUCGCAACACGAACUCUACGACUCGAAGCACAUAGGUUCUAAAGAGCAAAUCGUAGCAGUGUUAUUUACACACAAAGGUCACAUGCCCCAACAUACAACAAGCAUCAGCAGAAGCAAAACAUGUCUUACUAAAGACAAGUUUAAAAAGGGGCAGAAGAGGCCUGAAAGAAGAUACAACGACCCUUCUUAGUGGACAUUGAAUUCCACUUAGAAACCACCAUUGGGUUUAGUGGUCUCCUCUGCAACAAGUUAAUUUGUAGCCACUUAGAAACCACCAUUGGGUUUAGUGGUCUCCUCCGCAACAAGUUAAUUAAGCUACAAAUAUACUCCGCAAGACUUAUAUCAGGAACUAUCUACUCAUGUUCAAGUAUCAAGGGAAAAGGUAUUUGGACUAGUUUGUAGAAUUGCCAGCAUUGACCUUGGGUUACUCAGAGCAUCUCCAGCCGUUCGCCCCCAGGGGCGAUAAUAUCGGCGUGGGGGCGGUCGAUUUCCCAACCGCCACCCCACGACCCCCUUUUUAAAAAAUAAACUCGGCCAAAGUUCGGCCAAACACGACGCAUAUUCGUCGCGAUUUCAUUGAUAUUUGUACAAAAACUUAAACACAUAAAUCUAAACUAAACUAAAAAAACGCCUAGCACUAUUGCGUCGCCGCGCUACUGCCGAAAAGCCCCGCUUUCUACGUGCCGAGGAGCCUGUAGAACCGGGUGUAGUCGCCGCCGUCCCUGCUGGACCCUGACCAGCGUCGCCGAUGCGCGGGGGGUUGGACGACCCGGGCGCGUCCUCGUCGUCGCUGUCGAGGAUGACGACGCCACCCUCCACGCAUCCGCGGCGAUCUCCUCGAGGGCGCGGCGCUGGCGCUCCACCUGCUCGCGAACGCAGUGCGCCUUCGCCCAUUUGAGGGCGGUCUCGUCGGCGGCGGUCAUGUCCGCGUGCUCUAAUUCACGGGGAGCAACCCCGGCUCGGUCUUCGGCCCGACGAGCCGGGAAGAAGGAGAGGGGCGUCCACCGUCGUGGAUGACAAGGCCGCACCUGCGGCGCCCGAGUGGCGUCUCCUUUGGCUCCGGCUUGACGGGGCGGAGUGCCGGCGAACCGGAGGAGAGGGAGCCAGAGCCCGACGACGAGGAGGUCGCCGUCUCCAUCUGCCGCGGCGUCCAUGAGCUGCCGCGACAACGUGAGAAGGUGGGAGGCGCCGGACACUCCAGGCGCGGCGUGUUGCCGGCCUCGAUGUGCUCGAGGACGGCUUCGAGGAUGCAGCCGGGGACGCCCCACCAUUGGCGCCGUCCCUGGGAGUUGUGGCGACCGCGGGGCUCGACGCCGUUCGAGGAGGCGAGCUGCUCGGCGUGGCGGCGUUUGAAGUACACCGUCCACAGCAUGUUGCUGUCGGGGGCGUACCUCGGCUGGUUGUGCACCUCCUCUGUCAACGAGGACCGGAUGCGCGCGAUCUCGGCGCGCCAGGCAGCGCCGGUGGCACCGGCACACCGCCGGCGCUUAGCUUCCACAUGCCCGGCACCUGCAUGUCCGGCGGUGCCGGGUAGUCGGCCUCCUAGAGGAGCCGUGCCUCGUCCUCGUGCCGGUGACGACGGCUGAAGCCGUUAGCCGCCGCGGCGUCGCCUGGGUAACGCUCGGCCAUGCUCGUGCGCAGGGAGAAAGGCGGAGAGGCGAGCUCGGUCGAGAGGGGUGUCGGCGGCGAGAGGAGGAGCUCGGUCGAGAGUGUGUGUGCUCCCCGGCGAGGGAGGGCCUUUUUAUAGCCGGGCGUGGGUGAUGGGAGGGCAGCCGACGUGUGUACGCGUGGCAGGAUCGGGCGAGACGCGCGUCGCCGCGCCUUCACUGCGCCGCCCGUGAGGUAUCAAUGGAGGCUGACCGGUGCAGCAUCGCGUCAGCUUUGGCAUUGAUUCCCCGCGGGAACCGAGGCGAUGAGGACGAUGAUGCGCCGUGGUCACUGACUCGGCGGGUCAGCCGUUCUUUCGCACCAAAAACGAUUCCCCCGGCGCCUCCAGCGCGCCGGGUUUGGCCUGAAUCCGCCGGCGCCAGUUUCGGGCCUAAACGGCGAAAAUUGGGCUCCUGGGAACGCGGCUGGGCCAUUUUUUCUGCGCCGGCGCUAAAAAAGGGCCUUGUGUGUGUGUGUGUGGGUGGGGGGGGGGGGACUGUUGGGGGCUCAACUGGAGAUGCUCUCAGUGGCGGAGCCAGGAUUCAAGCAAACCCCGGGCCAAAACAUUUUUUUUUGGCCGAUAUUGAAAAACUUUCGCACUUACUAACCAAAAUAACCGUGUACUAACAUUCCAAAAAACUUUACACUUAUAUAUGUCCCAAAUUUCAUUAAAAAAAUUAAAUUUCAGUUCAGCAAUACAUGCAAGACAUAUACAUACUGCUACACACACAGUUUUUUUUCCAUUGAAUUUCAGUUCAAUGCAGUCCUAGGUUCAGUGUUAAAUAUCAUCUGAAAAGUUCAGUGUUAAAUACUUCAGUUAUUCAGUAUAUACGCACUAUGCACAGUCUCGGUCAGAAAAUUACCUAGCAGCCGGUAGGACCGCAACAACACGGCGGCCUCGUCCUGGAGCGGACGACGCUCGGGGCGCAGCGGAGGUUGGGCUCCCGGCUCGCGCGCAAGACGAUGGAGGCCGGAGGGAGGCCGGGAGCUCGGCCAUGGCCCAUGGCGGACGGUUAUGGACUGGUAGCAGCAUGGGACGACGGCGCCGGAUCGGGACGACAGCGCGGGGGAAUGCUGGUAGCGCGUGACAAGCCCUAGUAGUAGCUGUCUCUGAAUUUGCAAGAAAUCGAACGAACACAAGGAAAUUGUUGGGAAAUUUGGUGGUUAAUUCACUCAGAUCUGAAGCAAUUAGCUAGGGUUUUCGCCUGCCGGAACACGGCGGCUAUAAGGGCCAAGCCUAG
RNAcentral lists this long non-coding RNA (5058 nucleotides) under Triticum aestivum (bread wheat). Its description in RNAcentral is "long non-coding RNA (TAES_LNC010049)". The record is from RNAcentral. Lineage: Eukaryota; Viridiplantae; Streptophyta; Magnoliopsida; Poales; Poaceae.